GUGGUCCUACGGGAGGCAGCAGUGAGGAAUAUUGGUCAAUGGUCGGGAGACUGAACCAGCCAAGCCGAGUGAGGGAUGAAGGUUCAGAGUAUCGUAAACCUCUUUUGUCAGGGAACAAAGGCGGGGACGUGUCCCCGGAUGAGUGUACCUGAAGAAAAAGCAUCGGCUAACUCCGUGCCAGCAGCCGCGGUAAUACGGAGGAUGCGAGCGUUAUCCGGAUUUAUUGGGUUUAAAGGGUGCGCAGGCGGCGAGUUAAGUCAGCGGUAAAAUUUCGGGGCUCAACCCCGACCAGCCGU
RNAcentral lists this ribosomal RNA (296 nucleotides) under uncultured bacterium. RNAcentral describes it as "partial 16S ribosomal RNA". It matches the Rfam family "Bacterial small subunit ribosomal RNA", at positions 333 to 627 of the family's 1533-position model. The record is from RNAcentral.